GAUGAAGAACGUAGCGAAAUGCGAUAAGUAAUGUGAAUUGCAGAAUUCAGUGAAUCAUCGAAUCUUUGAACGCACCUUGCGCCCUUUGGCUAUUCUGAAGGGCAUGCCUGUUUGAGUAUCAUGAACACCUCAACUCUCAUGGUUCGCCAUGAUGAGCUUGGACUUUGGGGGUCUUGCUGGCCUACGGUCGGCUCCUCUCAAAUGAAUCAGCUUGCCAGUGUUUGGUAGAGUCGCAGGUGUGAUAACUAUCUACGCUUGUGGUUUUCUGCAAGAUAACCUUCAGUGAUGGAGGUUCGCUGGAGCUUAUAAAUGUCUCUCCCCAGUGAGGACAGCUUUUUGAACGUUUGAUCUCAAAUCAGGUAGGACUACCCGCUGAACUUAAGCAUAUCAAUAAGCGGAGGA
Molecule: unclassified non-coding RNA, 402 nt
Filed under: soil metagenome
Description: partial contains 5.8S ribosomal RNA, internal transcribed spacer 2, and large subunit ribosomal RNA
Rfam family: 5.8S ribosomal RNA (bases 1-121)
Source: RNAcentral